Molecule: ribosomal RNA, 508 nt
Filed under: Sphingomonas sp. 37
Lineage: Bacteria; Pseudomonadati; Pseudomonadota; Alphaproteobacteria; Sphingomonadales; Sphingomonadaceae
Description: bacterial SSU rRNA
Rfam family: Bacterial small subunit ribosomal RNA
Source: RNAcentral
GAGUUUGAUCCUGGCUCAGAACGAACGCUGGCGGCAUGCCUAAUACAUGCAAGUCGAACGAGAUCUUCGGAUCUAGUGGCGCACGGGUGCGUAACGCGUGGGAAUCUGCCCUUGGGUUCGGAAUAACUUCUGGAAACGGAAGCUAAUACCGGAUGAUGACGUAAGUCCAAAGAUUUAUCGCCCAAGGAUGAGCCCGCGUAGGAUUAGCUAGUUGGUGAGGUAAAGGCUCACCAAGGCGACGAUCCUUAGCUGGUCUGAGAGGAUGAUCAGCCACACUGGGACUGAGACACGGCCCAGACUCCUACGGGAGGCAGCAGUAGGGAAUAUUGGACAAUGGGCGAAAGCCUGAUCCAGCAAUGCCGCGUGAGUGAUGAAGGCCUUAGGGUUGUAAAGCUCUUUUACCCGGGAUGAUAAUGACAGUACCGGGAGAAUAAGCUCCGGCUAACUCCGUGCCAGCAGCCGCGGUAAUACGGAGGGAGCUAGCGUUGUUCGGAAUUACUGGGCGUAA